This 481-nucleotide ribosomal RNA is filed under the name uncultured bacterium. RNAcentral's name for it is "bacterial SSU rRNA". It matches the Rfam family "Bacterial small subunit ribosomal RNA", at positions 29 to 521 of the family's 1533-position model. The record is from RNAcentral.
AGUGAACGCUGGCGGCGUGCUUAACACAUGCAAGUCGAACGAGAAACGGAUUUAGCUUGCUAAAUUGCAGUCUAAGUGGCGCACGGGUGAGUAAUGUAUAGGUAAUAUGCCUCUUACUAAGGGAUAACAAUUGGAAACGAUUGCUAAUACCUUAUAUGCCUUUAAUACGAAAGUAUGCAAGGGAAAGAUUUAUUGGUAAGAGAUUAGCCUGUAUGGUAUCAGUUAGUUGGUGAGGUAAUGGCUCACCAAGACAAUGACGCCUAACUGGUUUGAGAGGAUGACCAGUCACACUGGAACUGAGACACGGUCCAGACUCCUACGGGAGGCAGCAGUGGGGAAUAUUGCACAAUGAACGAAAGUCUGAUGCAGCAACGCCGCGUGGAGGAUGACACAUUUCGGUGCGUAAACUCCUUUUAUAUAGGAAGAUAAUGACGGUACUAUAUGAAUAAGCACCGGCUAACUCCGUGCCAGCAGCCGCGGU